UUGCAGCCACAUCACGUUGAAAUACCGGUUCCCGUACGAUCACAGAUGUUAAGCAACGCCCAACCUGGUCAGUACCUCGAUGGGUGACCGCUGGAGAAUACCAGGUACUGUAAG
This is a non-coding RNA of Acanthosepion pharaonis, 114 nucleotides long. NCBI's taxonomy places the organism in Eukaryota, Metazoa, Mollusca, Cephalopoda, Sepiida, Sepiidae. The record is from the annotation of a GenBank genome assembly.